Molecule: ribosomal RNA, 852 nt
Filed under: Curtobacterium sp.
Lineage: Bacteria; Bacillati; Actinomycetota; Actinomycetes; Micrococcales; Microbacteriaceae
Description: bacterial SSU rRNA
Source: RNAcentral
UAMCAUGCAGUCGACGAUGAUGCCCAGCUUGCUGGGUGGAUUAGUGGCGAACGGGUGAGUAACACGUGAGUAACCUGCCCCUGACUCUGGGAUAAGCGUUGGAAACGACGUCUAAUACUGGAUAUGAUCACUGGCCGCAUGGUCUGGUGGUGGAAAGAUUUUUUGGUUGGGGAUGGACUCGCGGCCUAUCAGCUUGUUGGUGAGGUAAUGGCUCACCAAGGCGACGACGGGUAGCCGGCCUGAGAGGGUGACCGGCCACACUGGGACUGAGACACGGCCCAGACUCCUACGGGAGGCAGCAGUGGGGAAUAUUGCACAAUGGGCGAAAGCCUGAUGCAGCAACGCCGCGUGAGGGAUGACGGCCUUCGGGUUGUAAACCUCUUUUAGUAGGGAAGAAGCGAAAGUGACGGUACCUGCAGAAAAAGCACCGGCUAACUACGUGCCAGCAGCCGCGGUAAUACGUAGGGUGCAAGCGUUGUCCGGAAUUAUUGGGCGUAAAGAGCUCGUAGGCGGUUUGUCGCGUCUGCUGUGAAAUCCCGAGGCUCAACCUCGGGCUUGCAGUGGGUACGGGCAGACUAGAGUGCGGUAGGGGAGAUUGGAAUUCCUGGUGUAGCGGUGGAAUGCGCAGAUAUCAGGAGGAACACCGAUGGCGAAGGCAGAUCUCUGGGCCGUAACUGACGCUGAGGAGCGAAAGCAUGGGGAGCGAACAGGAUUAGAUACCCUGGUAGUCCAUGCCGUAAACGUUGGGCGCUAGAUGUAGGGACCUUUCCACGGUUUCUGUGUCGUAGCUAACGCAUUAAGCGCCCCGCCUGGGGAGUACGGGCCGCAAGGCUAAAACUCAAAAGGAAUUGA